AAUUUUGGACAAUGGGGGCAACCCUGAGCCAGCCAUCUCGCGUGUGCGAUGAAGGCCNNNGGGUUNUCAAGCACUUUUGGCAGNAACNAAACGGCUCUGGCUAAUAUCGGGAGCAACUGACGGUACCUGCAGAAUAAGCACCGGCCAACUUCGUGCCAGCAGCCGCGGUAAUACGUAGGGUGCAAGCGUUAAUCGGAAUUACUUGGCGUAAAGCGUGCGCAGGCGGUUCGGAAAGAAAGAUGUGAAAUCCCAGGGCUUAACCUUGGAACUGCAUUUUUAACUACCGGGCUAGAGUGUGUCAGAGGGAGGUGGAAUUCCGCGUGUAGCAGUGAAAUGCGUAGAUAUGCGGAGGAACACCGAUGGCGAAGGCAGCCUCCUGGGAUAACACUGACGCUCAUGCACGAAAGCGUGGGGAGCAAACAGG
This 424-nucleotide ribosomal RNA is filed under the name uncultured bacterium. RNAcentral's name for it is "partial 16S ribosomal RNA". It matches the Rfam family "Bacterial small subunit ribosomal RNA", at positions 360 to 776 of the family's 1533-position model. The record is from RNAcentral.